Molecule: ribosomal RNA, 321 nt
Filed under: uncultured bacterium
Lineage: Bacteria
Description: bacterial SSU rRNA
Rfam family: Bacterial small subunit ribosomal RNA
Source: RNAcentral
AACGAACGGUAGCGGCGUGGAUUAGGCAUGCAAGUCGUACGAGAUCCUUGCUUCGGUGAGGUGAAAGUGGCGAAAGGGUGAGUAAUGCAUAGACAACCUACCCCCGACUUCCUGGGAUAACUGAGAGAAAUUUCAGCUAAUACCGGAUAGGUUCGUUGGGCCGCAUGGCCUGGCGAUUAAAGAUGGCCUCUGAAUAUGCUUUCGGUUGGGGACGGGUCUAUGUCCUAUCAGCUUGUUGGUGGGGUAACGGCCUACCAAAGCGACGACGGGUAGCCGACCUGAGAGGGUGACCGGCCACACUGGGACUGAGACACUGCCCAG